GAUGAACGCUGGCGGCGUGCCUAAUACAUGCAAGUCGAGCGAACGGACGAGAAGCUUGCUUCUCUGAUGUUAGCGGCGGACGGGUGAGUAACACGUGGAUAACCUACCUAUAAGACUGGGAUAACUUCGGGAAACCGGAGCUAAUACCGGAUGAUAUUUUGAACCGCAUGGUUCAAAAGUGAAAGACGGUCUUGCUGUCACUUAUAGAUGGAUCCGCGCUGCAUUAGCUAGUUGGUAAGGUAACGGCUUACCAAGGCAACGAUGCAUAGCCGACCUGAGAGGGUGAUAGGCCACACUGGAACUGAGACACGGUCCAGACUCCUACGGGAGGCAGCAGUAGGGAAUCUUCCGGAAUGGGCGAAAGCCUGACGGAGCAACGCCGCGUGAGUGAUGAAGGUAUUCGGAUCGUAAAACUCUGUUAUUAGGGAAGAACAUAUGUGUAAGUAACUGUGCACAUCUUGACGGUACCUAAUCAGAAAGCCACGGCUAACUACGUG
RNAcentral lists this ribosomal RNA (497 nucleotides) under uncultured bacterium. RNAcentral's name for it is "partial 16S ribosomal RNA". It matches the Rfam family "Bacterial small subunit ribosomal RNA", at positions 28 to 507 of the family's 1533-position model. The record is from RNAcentral.